Molecule: RNA transcript, 5943 nt
Organism: Cajanus cajan (pigeon pea)
Lineage: Eukaryota; Viridiplantae; Streptophyta; Magnoliopsida; Fabales; Fabaceae
Gene: HUA2
Gene name: Tudor/PWWP/MBT domain-containing protein
Source: RefSeq, a predicted model, not a curated record
UACUCCUUCUCCCCAAAGCCAAACCCAUUUUCACAAAAACAAAAUCUACUAUUCUCUCUCUUCUCUCUCUUCUCUCUCUCUCUCUCUCUCUCUUCCUUCUCCCUGCGACCGCCUCGCCUCGCAUCGCAAUUCCUGCAAUUCCCUCACUCUCAGAUUCUUUCUCUCUCUCCGCCGCCGCCGCCGCCGAAACCCCGCGCAAGAUCCCCGCGGCGCCACCCGCGGGAUUUCUCUAGGGUUUUCUGAUCGCUCCCACGCGACAACAACGACGUCGUUUUCGAAUUGCGUGUAGCGUCCACGAGCCGCCAUGGCUCCCGGGCGUCGCCGCGGAGCGAACAAGGCGAAGGCGAAUGGGCACUUGACUCUCGGCGAUCUUGUCCUCGCUAAGGUCAAGGGCUUCCCCGCUUGGCCUGCUAAGAUAAGCAGGCCUGAGGAUUGGGAGAAAACCCCUGAUCCGAAGAAGUAUUUUGUUCAAUUCUUUGGUACGAAAGAAAUAGCUUUUGUUGCCCCAGCAGAUAUUCAGGCAUUUACCAAUGAGGCUAAAAAUAAGUUGUCUGCUCGUCUUCAGGGCAAGACAAAGUACUUUGCCCAAGCUGUGAAGGAAAUAUGUGCAGCAUUUGAUGAGAUGCAGAAACAGAAAGCUAGUGGUUUGACAGAUGACACUGAUGAUUCUCAUAUUGGUUCAGAGGCUCCUUCUAAUGAUGGGGUAGUAGGUAACCUAAAGGAUAAUACUGAUGCAGUGGUGUCAAAUGGAGGAAAAGAUAAUGUUGAUAUGGAUAAUGUUGGCUCUAAUUUGGAGCACUGUAUGCCGAGAGUUGGAGAAAAUGACAGUCAAGAUGAAAAGCUCUCUGUAUCUGACCAUCCAAAUGAAAGUUCUUCUGUUUCAUCUCCUGUGAUGAAAAAUAAAUUAUCCUCUGGUUCAGAGGCAAAGAAGAAUGUUCACAAAUCUAGUCUUAAAGAUGCUUGUAAUGUUAAUGAUUUUGGGCAAGAUGAUAAUGGACAUAGUGAUUUAACAAAUGGGACCAAGCCAAGAAAGCUUGUUAAUGGCUCAAGGAAGAGAAGUGAAGCUGCAGGUCAUAGAGACAGAAAUGGUGGAUCAUCUACUGGAAAAUUUUUGGAGGGAAAUUAUACUGGUCAUGGUGAUCUUUCUAAGUCUGAGGAGACAUUGAAAACUGGGAAGAAAAGGAAAAAUGCAUUUGCUGUUAAAUCAGAUUCUCCAGAUACUCUUAAAUCAGACAAUAAUGGUAAUACUGGGGAAAAAGAUAGCAACUUGAUAAAAGUCAAAACAAGUCUUGAGGUAAAAAAUGAGCUGCAGGAAAUCUCGUUUGAUUCUGAGGAUGGUGAUGGUAAAAGUUCUAGUUUGCGUAAGAAGACCCUGUUUCAUGCAAAGCAUAAUGUAGGAGCAAAUGAACCUUUACAUGCUACCAAGAAGUUGAAGCGUAUGGAUGCCCAAGAUGAUUCAACUGUAGGAUAUUCUUCAAAAGUUCCAAAAAGAGCUUCACCUGGCUCUACAGUUUUUGAAGACAGAUCAUUUAAAAAAUUAGAAUUGAAGAAGUCUACACCAAAUUUGAAAACAGAAAAAAGCUUGCCAUCUAAAGGUCAAAUUGGUGGUGCAGGUUCUGAUGAUUCUGUCAAUGAGUUGCUACCCGCAACUAAACAUCAUAGCCAGGUUCAUCAAGUUAUGCCUGAUUCUGCUGGCAUUGCUUCUGAUGAAAAGAAAGAAAGGAGUUCUCUUAGACAUAAAGUUGAUACAAAUAAUGUUAUGAUAAAACAAGUUGAGAGGAAACGCAGAGCUGUUUGUCUUUUCGAUGACGAUGAUGAACCUAAAACUCCUGUUCAUGGAGGAGCUGCUAAAAAUAUUAAAUCGUCUUCUGUUUCAGAGGUUAAGAAGACCAGCAAUGCGCACCCAGAGAAGUCUGAACCUAAAACUCCUGUUCAUGGUGGAGCUGCAAAAAAUAUUAAAUCGUCUUCUGUUUCAGAGGUAAAGAAGACCAACAAUGCACACCCAGAGAAGUCUGAUGUUGUUCAGAUGGCUCAAAGGAAUUCUAGUGAACUUGAGGAUACCCAUUCGAAAGAGCCAUCUUCUCAAUUACAUAAUGACGGUUUGUCAAUUAAGCAGCCUCUAAAAGAGAAAGAUGAUGAAGUGAUUCCUUUGCAUGUUCCUAAUAGUCCUGAAAAAUUAGAUUUGAAGCAGUUUCCCUCCAAUGCGGCAAAAUUAAGCUCUGUCUCUCCAGUAAAAUCACCUCAGCCAGUACCGGCAAUUAAGUCAAAUGCUGAGCGGAAUAAAGCUUCCAAACUUUCGAUUAAAAAUUCCAUUAAUGCUACUCAAAAGAGGGCUGAUCAUGGGUCUUCAAAGUCUUCACAUAACCUUAGCUCUUCUCAGAAUCAAGUUGCAACUCAUAGAAAGAAGCUUGCAUCUUCUGCAGAAAUUUCUAAAACUACUCCAGAGACAUUGCCUCAGGCAGUUGAAGCUCCUGCCUCAACUGUUGGUUUUAAGGAUCCUGAUGAUCUACAUGUUGAUAGAUUGGAGGUGGGCACAGAAGAGAAAAAUAGUAUAUAUACCGGUUCUGGGACUCCUGAAACUGCCAAAACUAUGAAGCAUCUUAUUGCAGCUGCCCUGGCAAAAAGGAAACAAGCUCAUUCUCAAUGUCUUCCUUCUGGCUUUCCCAAUGUUCAGGGGGGGACACCUAGCCCCUCCACAGUUCAGCCAUUUCUGCCUGUCUUGAGCAAUUUUGUGCAGGCAGAUAUGCAGGGAGUUUAUGAGCAGACAACAUUGGCUUCUCCACCAACUAAAGAGCAUCACUCUGCUUCUCAUACUCAACUUGAUGCUGAUGAAAUUGAGGACAGAAGAAUUGGUUCAGCGCAAAGGGGAAUAGAAGGCUCACUGAGUGGUGGUACUGAGGCUGCUGUUUCUCGUGAAGCUUUUGAAGGAAUGAUUGAAACCUUGUCAAGGACCAAGGAAAGUAUUGGCCGUGCAACUCGUCUUGCUAUUGAUUGUGCCAAGUAUGGCAUUGCCAACGAGGUUGUUGAACUUCUCAUCCGAAAGCUGGAAAAUGAAACUAGUUUUCAUCGUAAAGUGGAUUUAUUUUUUCUUGUUGAUUCUAUCACUCAGUGCUCGCAUAAUCAAAAAGGCAUUGCAGGAGCCUCCUACAUACCUACUGUUCAGGCAGCAUUGCCACGCCUUCUUGGUGCUGCUGCUCCCCCUGGAGCUAGUGCUCGUGAAAAUCGCCGUCAGUGUCUUAAGGUUUUGAGGCUGUGGCUUGAGAGGAAAAUUUUUCCUGAAUCUGUUCUGCGCCGUUACAUGGAUGAUAUUGGAGUUUCAAAUGAUGAUAUGACAGUUAGCUUUUCUCUUAGACGUCCAUCUCGAGCAGAGAGAGCUGUGGAUGACCCAAUUAGAGAAAUGGAAGGCAUGCUUGUUGAUGAGUAUGGAAGUAAUGCUACAUUUCAGCUGCCUGGCUUUUUAUCUUCACGUCCAUUUGAAGAUGAUGAAGAUGAAUAUGAAGAUGAUAUACCAAUCAAUUCAUGUAAGGAGACGUGUGAUGCAUCUCCAGCUGAUCCCACACAUAUCCUUGGAGAAUCAGAAACUUCUACUGUUACCCCAAAUGACAAGCGCCAUUGUAUCUUAAAGGAUGUGGAUGGUGAGCUGGAAAUGGAAGAUGUUUCAGGUCACCCGAAGGAUGAAAGGCCCCUAUUUUUUAACAGUUCUGAAGAAAUUGAUUUGCAACAUCAGGGCUCAGAUAGGAAUAUAGAUCCAACUGCAAACAUUUCAGAAGAGAUGUCAGCUACUCCUGACGGUUCUCCUCCUAUGCCACUUGAUUCACCUCCUCCACCCCCACCUUUGCCUUCAUCACCUCCGCCACCACCUCCUCCAUUGUCACCAUCUCCUCCCCCGCCUCCCCCACCCCCAAUGUUGCAACCCCCACCUCCUCCUUUACCACCCUCCGCAGCUCCUCCGGUGUCAUUGGUUCCUCAAUCGUCUGGACCAGCUCGGCCACUUCUCUCCCAGUCAUUAAUGCCACCUCAGUCUGCGCAUCAGUCGUCCCCACAGUUGGGGUAUCAGCAGAGUGUACCUCAUGACUUUAGUGGCACUACUAAUGGUAACCAAAUAGUUCCAAUGGCUGGGAAUUCUUUUCCUGGAGGUCACAAUAAUGCAGUUGUCCAGAAUGAAGUAUUUCCACAGCCAUCUGCUUAUGCUCCAGCAGCAGGCUGUAGCUCCCAGGAGCCUUCUGGUUUUAACCAUUCCAGGCAAUUAGAAUACGGACAGAAUGAUAUGUUUUUAAAUGCUCCAGUUCCUCAACCUAACCAUCAAUUUCAGCAGAGCAAUCCCCCAUUUGUUCAGAGGCAUGCUCAUCCUGCUCCACCGCAAAAUCCACCAAAUCCAUACUCAUAUUCAAAUCCCACAGUUCAGCAACAUCUUCCUCAUUCAUUCCAUCCCCCCUUUCCUUUACCAUCCCUUCCAGAUGGUCGGAGACAAUUUGUUGCUGAUGAGCAAUGGAGAGUGCCAUCGAGUGAAUUUAAAACAAAUAAUCAGCAUGGUGUAUGGAGAGGGAGAAAUCCUUCAUGUCCCGGUCCACCCUACGGGCAAGAAGGUCAUUUUCGGCCAACACUUGAAAGACCACCAGUAAGCUCCGUGGGUUUUCAGCGACCAAUUUCAAGCAACCUACCUGUUGCUCCAGGACAUGGUGUACCUCAGAUGAUGCCCUGUAGGCCAGACAUUCCUGCCGUUAAUUGUUGGAGACCCAAUUGAAGUUGAUUGGAGCCAUCUUAUUAGUAGUAGUGGUGUUGCUGGUGGAUCAACAUGCAAGGUUAAAUUGUGCCUCAGUUAGAUUCGCCUGUGUAGUACAUACAACUUACCCGUGGAGAAAAUUUUGAAAACUUGUGGAGGCUUUUGACAGGAUUGUGUAUAUUGUAAUUUUUCCUGACAAUGUAUCCCAGAAACAUUUGCUUCCAAGUUUAGGCCCAUGUUUUUGACUUGGUUUUGGCAAAGCCAAAGAUGGUGAUCAUUUUCUCAUGUUUUGAAUGUGAUAACUGAACAAAGAUUACAGUUCAUCUUCAUAGACAAAGACUGCUUAUUAUUGAGGGAUGUAGAAGCGAAAUUGGCUUGCAAGUUUUCAUGUAAGGAUAACCUGUGGCCAUUAUUUGGAAAGUCUGUACAGAAAAUUGCAUGUCGAAUGGGUGUUCUCGUAUUCACACGAGAUAAAAGGGGACCAAUGGAUGAAUAACAUUGUUUAGAGGGUAUUUGUUAAAUGCUAUUUGUAGCCGCAAGAUUCAGCAAACCCAAUUUGCCCAACAAAACGUGUUAUUGAUCUGAGACUUCUUCCCAAGAAUGGUCGACCUUCUACUAAAAGAUUUACGUGUGUUUAAACCACCUGAUCCAAUGCAAUUCGGCUACCAGCUUUCUGCCUCUGAGCUAGGCCCUUUGAUGAUCUUGUUGAAAAUGCUCCAUUGUUGCCAUUAUCCUUCUUCAAGAGCAUCUCUGGAAUACGCUGAAGGUUAGCUUCAGAUUUAUGAUUCCUUCGUAUAAGUGUACUUUUCCUUUUAUCAGUGUCACUUUUCCUGGCUUUUAUAACUUCCAUAAUAUCAGGCCCUUCCAUAAUAUCAUCCAAUGUUCCAUUUGCCAAACUACGAGACUUUUGGUGACGAUUAACAUGUUGAGGGGACAAUACCGAGUUCCGACUGAAUGAACCAUUUUCUUGACCUUUGUAACACCUUUUUUCGUACUCCUCAAUGUUAAAUAUUUCAGAUGCUGAUUUCUUCAUUGUUGGUUUAGCUCCAUAGUAACCUCGUAAGGAGCUAAUCACUGGGGAGAGGAAUGACUCAAACACUUCACAGUGUCCAUUAUCAGGUGAAUUGUACUCAUCGUUAUCAUGUCUGAAGGGAUAAUGUUCAACAAAAUGAAUUUUAUAACGUUUCAUAAAAAUGAAUACUCUCUCUGUUAAGACCCAA